GAUUAAGUUAUUAAGGGCGCACGGUGGAUGCCUUGGCACUAGAAGCCGAUGAAGGACGUUACUAACGACGAUAUGCUUUGGGGAGCUGUAAGUAAGCUUUGAUCCAGAGAUUUCCGAAUGGGGAAACCCAGCAUGAGUUAUGUCAUGUUAUCGAUAUGUGAAUACAUAGCAUAUCAGAAGGCACACCCGGAGAACUGAAACAUCUUAGUACCCGGAGGAAGAGAAAGAAAAUUCGAUUCCCUUAGUAGCGGCGAGCGAAACGGGAAGAGCCCAAACCAACAAGCUUGCUUGUUGGGGUUGUAGGACACUCUAUACGGAGUUACAAAGGACGACAUUAGACGAAUCAUCUGGAAAGAUGAAUCAAAGAAGGUAAUAAUCCUGUAGUCGAAAAUGUUGUCUCUCUUGAGUGGAUCCUGAGUACGACGGAGCACGUGAAAUUCCGUCGGAAUCUGGGAGGACCAUCUCCUAAGGCUAAAUACUCUCUAGUGACCGAUAGUGAACCAGUACCGUGAGGGAAAGGUGAAAAGCACCCCGGAAGGGGAGUGAAAUAGAACCUGAAACCGUGUGCUUACAAGUAGUCAGAGCCCGUUAAUGGGUGAUGGCGUGCCUUUUGUAGAAUGAACCGGCGAGUUACGAUUUGAUGCAAGGUUAAGCAGUAAAUGUGGAGCCGUAGCGAAAGCGAGUCUGAAUAGGGCGUUUAGUAUUUGGUCGUAGACCCGAAACCAGGUGAUCUACCCUUGGUCAGGUUGAAGUUCAGGUAACACUGAAUGGAGGACCGAACCGACUUACGUUGAAAAGUGAGCGGAUGAACUGAGGGUAGCGGAGAAAUUCCAAUCGAACCUGGAGAUAGCUGGUUCUCUCCGAAAUAGCUUUAGGGCUAGCCUCAAGUGAUGAUUAUUGGAGGUAGAGCACUGUUUGGACGAGGGGCCCCUCUCGGGUUACCGAAUUCAGACAAACUCCGAAUGCCAAUUAAUUUAACUUGGGAGUCAGAACAUGGGUGAUAAGGUCCGUGUUCGAAAGGGAAACAGCCCAGACCACCAGCUAAGGUCCCAAAAUAUAUGUUAAGUGGAAAAGGAUGUGGCGUUGCCCAGACAACUAGGAUGUUGGCUUAGAAGCAGCCAUCAUUUAAAGAGUGCGUAAUAGCUCACUAGUCGAGUGACACUGCGCCGAAAAUGUACCGGGGCUAAACAUAUUACCGAAGCUGUGGAUUGUCCUUUGGACAAUGGUAGGAGAGCGUUCUAAGGGCGUUGAAGCAUGAUCGUAAGGACAUGUGGAGCGCUUAGAAGUGAGAAUGCCGGUGUGAGUAGCGAAAGACGGGUGAGAAUCCCGUCCACCGAUUGACUAAGGUUUCCAGAGGAAGGCUCGUCCGCUCUGGGUUAGUCGGGUCCUAAGCUGAGGCCGACAGGCGUAGGCGAUGGAUAACAGGUUGAUAUUCCUGUACCACCUAUAAUCGUUUUAAUCGAUGGGGGGACGCAGUAGGAUAGGCGAAGCGUGCGAUUGGAUUGCACGUCUAAGCAGUAAGGCUGAGUAUUAGGCAAAUCCGGUACUCGUUAAGGCUGAGCUGUGAUGGGGAGAAGACAUUGUGUCUUCGAGUCGUUGAUUUCACACUGCCGAGAAAAGCCUCUAGAUAGAAAAUAGGUGCCCGUACCGCAAACCGACACAGGUAGUCAAGAUGAGAAUUCUAAGGUGAGCGAGCGAACUCUCGUUAAGGAACUCGGCAAAAUGACCCCGUAACUUCGGGAGAAGGGGUGCUCUUUAGGGUUAACGCCCAGAAGAGCCGCAGUGAAUAGGCCCAAGCGACUGUUUAUCAAAAACACAGGUCUCUGCUAAACCGUAAGGUGAUGUAUAGGGGCUGACGCCUGCCCGGUGCUGGAAGGUUAAGAGGAGUGGUUAGCUUCUGCGAAGCUACGAAUCGAAGCCCCAGUAAACGGCGGCCGUAACUAUAACGGUCCUAAGGUAGCGAAAUUCCUUGUCGGGUAAGUUCCGACCCGCACGAAAGGCGUAACGAUUUGGGCACUGUCUCAACGAGAGACUCGGUGAAAUCAUAGUACCUGUGAAGAUGCAGGUUACCCGCGACAGGACGGAAAGACCCCGUGGAGCUUUACUGUAGCCUGAUAUUGAAAUUCGGCACAGCUUGUACAGGAUAGGUAGGAGCCUUUGAAACGUGAGCGCUAGCUUACGUGGAGGCGCUGGUGGGAUACUACCCUAGCUGUGUUGGCUUUCUAACCCGCACCACUUAUCGUGGUGGGAGACAGUGUCAGGCGGGCAGUUUGACUGGGGCGGUCGCCUCCUAAAAGGUAACGGAGGCGCUCAAAGGUUCCCUCAGAAUGGUUGGAAAUCAUUCAUAGAGUGUAAAGGCAUAAGGGAGCUUGACUGCGAGACCUACAAGUCGAGCAGGGUCGAAAGACGGACUUAGUGAUCCGGUGGUUCCGCAUGGAAGGGCCAUCGCUCAACGGAUAAAAGCUACCCCGGGGAUAACAGGCUUAUCUCCCCCAAGAGUUCACAUCGACGGGGAGGUUUGGCACCUCGAUGUCGGCUCAUCGCAUCCUGGGGCUGUAGUCGGUCCCAAGGGUUGGGCUGUUCGCCCAUUAAAGCGGUACGCGAGCUGGGUUCAGAACGUCGUGAGACAGUUCGGUCCCUAUCCGUCGUGGGCGUAGGAAAUUUGAGAGGAGCUGUCCUUAGUACGAGAGGACCGGGAUGGACAUACCUCUGGUGUACCAGUUGUCGUGCCAACGGCAUAGCUGGGUAGCUAUGUGUGGACGGGAUAAGUGCUGAAAGCAUCUAAGCAUGAAUCCCCCCUCAAGAUGAGAUUUCCCAACUUCGGUUAUAAGAUCCCUCAAAGAUGAUGAGGUUAAUAGGUUCGAGGUGGAAGCAUGGUGACAUGUGGAGCUGACGAAUACUAAUCGAUCGAAGACUUAAUCAA
This 2923-nucleotide ribosomal RNA is filed under the name Staphylococcus aureus. Its description in RNAcentral is "23S ribosomal RNA". It matches the Rfam family "Bacterial large subunit ribosomal RNA". Lineage: Bacteria; Bacillati; Bacillota; Bacilli; Caryophanales; Staphylococcaceae. The record is from RNAcentral.